RNAcentral lists this ribosomal RNA (258 nucleotides) under uncultured Syntrophaceae bacterium. Its description in RNAcentral is "partial 16S ribosomal RNA". It matches the Rfam family "Bacterial small subunit ribosomal RNA", at positions 1122 to 1382 of the family's 1533-position model. Lineage: Bacteria; Pseudomonadati; Thermodesulfobacteriota; Syntrophia; Syntrophales; Syntrophaceae. The record is from RNAcentral.
CAUUUAGUUGGGCACUUUAAAGAGACUGCCGGUGUUAAGCCGGAGGAAGUGGGGAUGACGUCAAGUCCUCAUGGCCUUUAUGCCCAGGGCUACACACGUGCUACAAUGGGCGGUACAAAGAGAAGCAACCUCGCGAGGGUGAGCAAAUCUCAAAAAGCCGUUCUCAGUUCGGAUUGAAGUCUGCAACUCGACUUCAUGAAGUCGGAAUCGCUAGUAAUCGCGGAUCAGCAUGCCGCGGUGAAUACGUUCCCGGGCCUU